RNAcentral lists this ribosomal RNA (315 nucleotides) under Triticum aestivum (bread wheat). Its description in RNAcentral is "partial small subunit ribosomal RNA". Lineage: Eukaryota; Viridiplantae; Streptophyta; Magnoliopsida; Poales; Poaceae. The record is from RNAcentral.
AUGAAAAUUAGUGGAUGGAAGGAAAAAUUGUUAUCCUCUGGAGGGAAGGAAAUUUUGCUCAAAUCUGUUGUACAAGCUAUCGCUACCUAUGCCAUGUCCGUCUUUAAAAUUCCUAAUUGCAAAGGAAUUAUUAACGCGAUGUCACAUUUUUGGUGGGGUGACGAGGACAAUCAGAAGAGGAUGCAUUGGAUACCAUGGUGGAAAAUGUGUGUUCCAAAAGAUCAAGGAGGUAUGGGCUUCCGAGAUAUACACUGUUUCAACCUGGCGCUAUUAGCUAAACAAGCGUGGCGUCUUCUUGAUAAUCCUGAAUCUUGA